UACGUAGGUGGCGAGCGUUGUCCGGAUUUACUGGGCGUAAAGAGCGCGCAGGCGGUCGUGCAAGUCGCGUGUGAAAGCCCCCGGCUCAACUGGGGAGGGUCACGCGAUACUGCUCGACUCGAAGGCAGGAGAGGGAAGCGGAAUUCCCGGUGUAGUGGUGAAAUGCGUAGAUAUCGGGAGGAACACCAGUGGCGAAGGCGGCUUCCUGGCCUGUUCUUGACGCUGAGGCGCGAAAGCUAGGGUAGCAAACGGG
This 253-nucleotide ribosomal RNA is filed under the name uncultured bacterium. Its description in RNAcentral is "partial 16S ribosomal RNA". It matches the Rfam family "Bacterial small subunit ribosomal RNA", at positions 524 to 776 of the family's 1533-position model. The record is from RNAcentral.